RNAcentral lists this ribosomal RNA (270 nucleotides) under uncultured archaeon. RNAcentral's name for it is "partial 16S ribosomal RNA". It matches the Rfam family "Archaeal small subunit ribosomal RNA", at positions 477 to 747 of the family's 1478-position model. The record is from RNAcentral.
CAGCACCUCAAGUGGUCAGGAUGAUUAUUGGGCCUAACGCAUCCGUAGCCGGCGCUGUAAGUUUUCGGUUAAAUCUGUACGCUCAACGUACAGGCUGCCGGGAAUACUGCAGCGCUAGGGAGUGGGAGAGGUAGACGGUACUCGGUAGGAAGGGGUAAAAUCCUUUGAUCUAUUGAUGACCACCUGUGGCGAAGGCGGUCUACCAGAACACGUCCGACGGUGAGGGAUGAAAGCUGGGGGAGCAAACCGGAUUAGAUACCCGAGUAGUCC